Molecule: ribosomal RNA, 450 nt
Filed under: uncultured bacterium
Lineage: Bacteria
Description: bacterial SSU rRNA
Rfam family: Bacterial small subunit ribosomal RNA
Source: RNAcentral
GUGGGGAAUAUUGGACAAUGGGCGAAAGCCUGAUCCAGCCAUGCCGCGUGUGUGAAGAAGGUCUUCGGAUUGUAAAGCACUUUAAGUUGGGAGGAAGGGCAGUAAGUUAAUACCUUGCUGUUUUGACGUUACCGACAGAAUAAGCACCGGCUAACUUCGUGCCAGCAGCCGCGGUAAUACGAAGGGUGCAAGCGUUAAUCGGAAUUACUGGGCGUAAAGCGCGCGUAGGUGGUUUUGUAAGUUGGAGGUGAAAUCCCCGGGCUCAACCUGGGAACUGCCUCAAAAACUACUGAGCUAGAGUACGGUAGAGGGUAGUGGAAUUUCCUGUGUAGCGGUGAAAUGCGUAGAUAUAGGAAGGAACACCAGUGGCGAAGGCGACUACCUGGACUGAUACUGACACUGAGGUGCGAAAGCGUGGGGAGCAAACAGGAUUAGAAACCCGGGUAGUCC